RNAcentral lists this ribosomal RNA (907 nucleotides) under Klebsiella aerogenes. RNAcentral's name for it is "bacterial SSU rRNA". It matches the Rfam family "Bacterial small subunit ribosomal RNA", at positions 258 to 1168 of the family's 1533-position model. The record is from RNAcentral. Lineage: Bacteria; Pseudomonadati; Pseudomonadota; Gammaproteobacteria; Enterobacterales; Enterobacteriaceae.
GUAUGGCUCACCUAGGCGACGAUCCCUAGCUGGUCUGAGAGGAUGACCAGCCACACUGGAACUGAGACACGGUCCAGACUCCUACGGGAGGCAGCAGUGGGGAAUAUUGCACAAUGGGCGCAAGCCUGAUGCAGCCAUCCGCGUGUAUGAAGAAGGCCUUCGGGUUGUAAAGUACUUUCAGCGAGGAGGAAGGCGUUAAGGUUAAUAACCUUGGCGAUUGACGUUACUGCAGAAGAAGCACCGGCUAACUCCGUGCCAGCAGCCGCGGUAAUACGGAGGGUGCAAGCGUUAAUCGGAAUUACUGGGCGAAGCGCACGCAGGCGGUCUGUCAAGUCGGAUGUGAAAUCCCCGGGCUCAACCUGGGAACUGCAUUCGAAACUGGCAGGCUAGAGUCUUGUAGAGGGGGGUAGAAUUCCAGGUGUAGCGGUGAAAUGCGUAGAGACUGGAGGAAUACCGGUGGCGAAGGCGGCCCCCUGGACAAAGACUGACGCUCAGGUGCGAAAGCGUGGGGAGCAAACAGGAUUAGAUACCCUGUAGUCCACGCCGUAAACGAUGUCACUUGGAGGUUGUGCCCUUGAGGCGUGGCUUCCGGAGCUAACGCGUUAAGUCGACCGCCUGGGAGUACGGCCGCAAGGUUAAAACUCAAAUGAAUUGACGGGGGCCCGCACAAGCGGUGGAGCAUGUGGUUUAAUUCGAUGCAACGCGAAGAACCUUACCUACUCUUGACAUCCAGAGAACUAGCAGAGAUGCUUUGGUGCCUUCGGGAACUCUGAGACAGGUGCUGCAUGGCUGUCGUCAGCUCGUGUUGUGAAAUGUUGGGUUAAGUCCCGCAACGAGCCAACCCUUAUCCUUUGUUGCCAGCGGUCCGGCCGGGAACUCAAAGGAGACUGCCAGUGAUAAACUGGAG